CUUCCUCAGCCUCCCAAGUCAAUAGGAAUACAGGUGUGCACCACCACACCCAGCUGGAACAAUUUUAAUCAGUCACUCUUUGCUUUCUAGAAUUCUGCAAAUGAAUGGACUACCCUUAUAGAGCAACCCCUCCCUAUUCCAUGAACAUUGGUACUUACCCUUUGAUUUUUUUCUCUAGGUAUCUUGCGGUACCGAGUAGAUUUCCAGGGAAUGGAAUACCAAGGAGGAGACGAUGAAUUUUUUGACCUUGAUGACUACUAGGUAGUCGACAUGGGUCCGGCAAAAUGUGCCUCACCCUCCAGCAUCCAACCCAAGGAGCAUACCCGUGGUGGAAUCCAAACAGAUCCCUGCCUUACAAUUGGAACAUUUCCAGAACUUAAUCCAUGAGCAUUGGAUACUGAAAAGAAAACCGAAACAAAACCAGACCCAACCCUGUACAUUGGUUUGUCAUGGUGUCAGCGCAGCAGCCUGCAACUAAGUUCCUAAAUGCCACUUUGGACUAAUUUAAAAAGAAUCCCAGUUUUUACUUUUACUUGAUGGUGAAAUUGGUUGCUCUUGUAUUUUAUGAAAAAAAAAAUGAUUUUUUUAACCUUCAUACAUAGAAGCAAAAUACUUUAACUGCUGUAAACCUUCAAAAGUUAAUAGAAGCGAGAUCAUACUGGUUUGUUUCUUAUUUUGAUUGGAGAAAAAUUAAAAUUGCUGCAUUUCGCAGUGACCCAUUUACAUGGCAUUCUCAGCUUAGACUGCAUAAGAAGAAAUACAUGUGGUGAAAUGUUGGAACCAUUUCUCUCUUGGUCUCUGUUUAAUGUUGAAAGGGUGAGCUAAUAGGAGGCAGUUUCAACCUCACUCCCACACACCCCUUCCCCAAACUGUCAGUUUCAAGGAUGCAGAUUGCAUUGUAAAGUCAAACUGACUCAUGAAGCAUUGAGGCCAGUGCACUGUUUACUUUCAUCUGUUUGGCAGACACAUUUGUGCCCGAUGUUUGGGAGCCCUUUGUAUCAUUUACUUUAACAAGGGUCCCCAUAAACCUAGCCUACUAGAAAUCAGUUUGGGAUGGAUAUGGUUGGGCUUCUGUGCUAUUUGCUGGGAUUGGGAGAAAUAAAACAAACAAUUUUAGUGGAAGCAAAGAAAUUUAAAGAUUAUUUUAUUUUGCUUGGGUCUACCCUUGGUAAAAAGGGAGGUGGUCGUGUUUCCUUGUGUUGGGUGGCAUGAGAUUAUGUGAAUGUUUUGAUUUUUUUUUUUUUUUUUUUUAAUGAAAUGGAAGAUUUUUCACCGGGACGACAGACAAGACAUGUAUGAUUGCAUGGAAUUAUAAACCCUUGGUGGGGUUUGAGCAUCUGUUUCAAAUGUGGGACUUAAAAGCACCUCUCAGAUGAGAAAUUAUGGGAGGAGGGUGGGAAGGGAAGGGGUGGGAAGGGAUGGGACACAGCUUCUGGCACGAUGGACUAAACCAUGUUGGAUCUAAAAAGUUGGCCUGAAAACCUGAAGCUUAUGCUUCAUAGCUAGGCUAUAAGGUGGACUAGAACCCAGCCCAUGCAAGUCAUGGCGUGCUCGAUGUGGUGACAGUGAACAAAGUGUAUAGGAUGUGCCCAGUGCUAGCAAUGAGAAAGUGUAUACCGAAUGGACUUUGAAGGACCAAAGGUUUUUUAAGUCAAUUGGUAUCACCACCACCCCAGUGACUAGGGUAGUGGGGUGCAUUUGGUUUUCAAAUUGGGUACUUUCAACACUUAGUGCCUGACUGCUGUUCUUCACUGACUUGAUUCAGUCACUCGUAGCUUUAUUGGUCUGAACCAACUCUUUGUUCCCAGGUUACAGACCUGCCUAUCGUUCCAAUAAUCCUGUUUCACUUGAAUGAAGGGAGUAUGUCUUAAAUGUAAAGCUUCUGGUACUCACACUGUGCUCUGAGGUCCAAAUAACUGUCUGUCAAUGUAUAACCUGAUGUCUCAACCCCCAGUGAGAAGAGUCAAUUCUUUGGUGUUCACCGAUGUGGGAGGCUUCACCGGAACAGGCUUUUGCUUUGGGCUCUGCUGUUUGUUUGCAGAACACCCAAGAGCAAGUAAACAUGCUCUCUUCACAGCAGUACCUUAGGGUUUUGCCAUUGUAAAUGGGUCUAAUGUGAUAUGAUAAGACCAGAGAAAUUGGAUGUAAAUUUACAUUUUUGAAUAUGCUUGUUGUUUCACAUGAUACAUUUAGGGUAUGCAGCUCCUUUUGUAGUUUUUAUUUUUACUAUUUAAGUUUGGAAAUGAUGCCAAAUUUUUGUAUUUCUUUAAUCAAUGUGUUCUCUUCGGUGAUAUAUAUUGCAUUAUAUAUUGAUGUGUGUAUCAAUAUAUACUGGUAUGUAUUACACUUACACAUGCAAACACAUAAAUAAGAGGGGGUGAAAAACGUAGCCUUUGCAUUCUCUAUAGCCUCUGCAGAGAGAUCUAAGCAGCGAAAUCUUGGUGUUGUGAUGUACAGAAAUGGAGAAGAGUAUUAAACCAUAUUUAAGAAUAUACUUUGUGUGCUUGAGAUUUUUUAGGACUGUUUCCUAGAAAAGUCUGAACUUUAGAGACAGUAUGAGAGGUCUUUGAAGUUUAUGUCAGAUUAGUCAUAGCUGAUAAAUUUGCAGCCUUAGACUUUAGUUUCUUCGCU
Molecule: long non-coding RNA, 2631 nt
Filed under: Marmota monax (woodchuck)
Lineage: Eukaryota; Metazoa; Chordata; Mammalia; Rodentia; Sciuridae
Source: RNAcentral